GGGCGUAUAGUUCAGUGGUAGAACAUAAGAGUUUAGGAAAUUGAUGUGUAUGUUCAGAUACCAAGCCGGCAAGGGUGAACAGAAACUACAUUGAUUCGUUCUGUAUGUCAUGGGUUCGAUUCCCAUUGCGCUUA
RNAcentral lists this transfer RNA (134 nucleotides) under Caudoviricetes sp. Its description in RNAcentral is "tRNA-OTHER". It matches the Rfam family "tRNA". Rfam says of the family: Transfer RNA (tRNA) molecules are approximately 80 nucleotides in length. The record is from RNAcentral. Lineage: Duplodnaviria; Heunggongvirae; Uroviricota; Caudoviricetes.